This 2191-nucleotide ribosomal RNA is filed under the name marine metagenome. RNAcentral's name for it is "bacterial LSU rRNA". It matches the Rfam family "Bacterial large subunit ribosomal RNA", at positions 61 to 2313 of the family's 2925-position model. The record is from RNAcentral.
ACAGUCUUCUGCAAAUGAGCCCCAUUGAUGAAAACGCCAUUCAAGCGCUCAAGAGUGAAUUAAACCCCUCUCGCCCAUCAUCGGAGCUGAUUGCUUCUGCCUCCAACCUCCUGACCCAAGUGACAUGUUGAAGGCAUGAUAUCGAAAGAGGCGAACCCGCUGAACUGAAACAUCUAAGUAGGCGGAGGAAGAGAAAACAAUAGUGAUUCCGUUAGUAGUGGCGAGCGAACGCGGAAGAGCCCAAACCAGGUUUGUUUCGGCAAAUCUGGGGUUGUAGGACCACGACAUUCUUUGUUAACUGAACUGGAAGCAUCUGGAAAGUUGCACGAUAGGGGUGAUAGUCCCGUACAGGUAAGGUUGAUAAAAGAUAGUGGUAUCCUGAGUAGCGCGGGGCACGUGAAACCUUGUGUGAAUCUAGCAGGACCAUCUGCUAAGGCUAAAUACUCUUGAGAGACCGAUAGUGAACUAGUACCGUGAGGGAAAGGUGAAAAGAACCCUGAAUAAGGGAGUGAAAUAGACCCUGAAACCAUACGCUUACAAGCGGUCGGAGCCUUCGGGUGACGGCGUGCCUUUUGCAUAAUGAGCCUACGAGUUACCGUUACUGGCAAGGUUAAGGAUUUAAGAUCUGGAGCCGUAGCGAAAGCGAGUCUGAAUAGGGCGCUUUAGUCAGUAGUGGUAGACGCGAAACCGUGUGAUCUACCCAUGGGCAGGUUGAAGCUGUGGUAACACACAGUGGAGGACCGAACCCGUUGACGUUGAAAAGUCUUGGGAUGACCUGUGGGUAGGGGUGAAAGGCCAAUCAAACUCGGAAAUAGCUCGUACUCCCCGAAAUGCAUUUAGGUGCAGCGUUGCGAUAGUUUUAUAGAGGUAGAGCUACUGAUUGGAUGCGGGGGCUUCACCGCCUACCAAUUUCUGACAAACUCCGAAUGCUAUAAAAUGAUUUGCAGCAGUGAGGGCAUGGGUGCUAAGGUCCAUGUCCGAGAGGGAAAGAACCCAGACCAUCAGCUAAGGUCCCAAAAUAUGUGUUAAGUUGACAAAACGCGGUGAAACUGCAUAGACAGCCAGGAUGUUGGCUUGGAAGCAGCCAUUCAUUUAAAGAGUGCGUAACAGCUCACUGGUCGAGCGGUUUUGCAUGGAUAAUAAUCGGGCAUAAACACAUUACCGAAGCUAUGGACGAGAGUGGUAGGGGAGCAUUCUAAUUGCGUUGAAGGUGUAUCGUGAGGUAUGCUGGAGCGGUUAGAAAAGAAAAUGUAGGCAUAAGUAACGAUAAGUGGGGCGAGAAACCCCACCGCCGAAAGACUAAGGUUUCCCCAGCUAUGCUAAUCAGCUGGGGGUCAGUCGGGACCUAACGCGAACCCGAAAGGGGUAGUGGAUGGACAAACGGUUAAUAUUCCGUUACCUCCUUAUAAAUAAAAGUGACGGAGAAGAGUGGUUACUGCGCACUGACGGAAUAGUGCGUUGAAGCUUCGGCGAUAGUACAGAACGACUUCGGUCUGACUGAUAAUGUAGCGAAUCUUCUUCCAAGAAAAGCGAUAUAAGGAGCCCGUACCGUAAACCGACACAGGUAGUUGGGAUGAGUAUUCUAAGGCGCUCGAGUGAUUCAUGGCUAAGGAACUAGGCAAAAUCGACCCGUAACUUCGGGAGAAGGGUCGCCUGCUUCGGCAGGCCGCAGUGAAAAGGUCCAGGCGACUGUUUAUCAAAAACACAGGGCUAUGCUAAGUUGAAAGACGAUGUAUAUGGCCUGACACCUGCCCGGUGCUGGAAGGUUAAAGGGAGAUGUUAGCUUCGGUGAAGCAUUGAACUGAAGCCCCAGUAAACGGCGGCCGUAACUAUAACGGUCCUAAGGUAGCGAAAUUCCUUGUCGGGUAAGUUCCGACCUGCACGAAUGGUGCAACGAUCUGGACACUGUCUCGGCCAUGAGCUCGGUGAAAUUGUAGUAUCGGUGAAGAUGCCGAUUACCCGCAGUGGGACGAAAAGACCCCGUGCACCUUUACUAUAGCUUCGUAUUGACCCUGGGCAAGGGAUGUGUAGGAUAGCUGGGAGACUAUGAACCUGAUUCGCUAGGAUUGGGGGAGUCGUUGUUGAAAUACCAGCCUUCGUUUGUCCGGGGCCUAACCUCGAAAGGGGAACAGUGCGUGGUGGGUAGUUUGACUGGGGUGGUCGCCUCCAAAAGAGUAACGGAGGCUUCUAA